RNAcentral lists this small nuclear RNA (183 nucleotides) under Chrysemys picta bellii (western painted turtle). Its description in RNAcentral is "U2 spliceosomal RNA (ENSCPBG00000005531.1)". It matches the Rfam family "U2 spliceosomal RNA". From Rfam's summary of the family: U2 is a small nuclear RNA (snRNA) component of the spliceosome (involved in pre-mRNA splicing). Complementary binding between U2 snRNA (in an area lying towards the 5' end but 3' to hairpin I) and the branchpoint sequence (BPS) of the intron results the bulging out of an unpaired adenosine, on the BPS, which initiates a nucleophilic attack at the intronic 5' splice site, thus starting the first of two transesterification reactions that mediate splicing. The record is from RNAcentral. Lineage: Eukaryota; Metazoa; Chordata; Testudines; Emydidae.
AUCGUUUCUCGGCUCCUUGGAGCUAAGAUCAAAGUGUAGUGUCUGUUCUUAUCAGUUUAAUUUCUUCUGAUGGACAUCUGCAAACACACGUCCAGAAGAUGGAAUCUCCUGCAGCCAUUUUUGAAAAAAUUGAUGCUGCUUUGAAGAUAUACUCCACUCCUUCUAUUUUGGAAGAAAACUCCU